This 254-nucleotide ribosomal RNA is filed under the name uncultured bacterium. RNAcentral's name for it is "partial 16S ribosomal RNA". It matches the Rfam family "Bacterial small subunit ribosomal RNA", at positions 524 to 777 of the family's 1533-position model. The record is from RNAcentral.
UACGGGGGGGGCAAGCGUUGUUCGGAAUUACUGGGCGUAAAGGGCUCGUAGGCGGCCAACUAAGUCGGAUGUGAAAUCCCCAGGCUUAACCUGGGAACUGCAUCCGAUACUGGAUGGCUUGAAUCCGGGAGAGGGAUGCAGAAUUCCAGGUGUAGCGGUGAAAUGCGUAGAUAUCUGGAGGAAUACCGGUGGCGAAGGCGGCAUCCUGGACCGGUAUUGACGCUGAGGCGCGAAAGCCAGGGGAGCAAAGCGGG